Molecule: transfer RNA, 71 nt
Filed under: Vaginularia trichoidea
Lineage: Eukaryota; Viridiplantae; Streptophyta; Polypodiopsida; Polypodiales; Pteridaceae
Also listed under: 1 other name
Description: tRNA-Gly
Rfam family: tRNA
About the family: Transfer RNA (tRNA) molecules are approximately 80 nucleotides in length. Their secondary structure includes four short double-helical elements and three loops (D, anti-codon, and T loops). Further hydrogen bonds mediate the characteristic L-shaped molecular structure. tRNAs have two regions of fundamental functional importance: the anti-codon, which is responsible for specific mRNA codon recognition, and the 3' end, to which the tRNAs corresponding amino acid is attached (by aminoacyl-tRNA synthetases). tRNAs cope with the degeneracy of the genetic code in two manners: having more than one tRNA (with a specific anti-codon) for a particular amino acid; and 'wobble' base-pairing, i.e. permitting non-standard base-pairing at the 3rd anti-codon position.
Source: RNAcentral
GCGGAUAUAGUUGAGUGGUAAAAUAUCUCUUUGCCAAGGAGAUGACGCGGGUUCGAUUCCCGCUAUCCGCC